Thalassophryne amazonica is the source of this 98-nucleotide long non-coding RNA. RefSeq lists it as uncharacterized. The transcript is spliced from 3 exons. NCBI's taxonomy places the organism in Eukaryota, Metazoa, Chordata, Actinopteri, Batrachoidiformes, Batrachoididae. The record is from RefSeq and is a predicted model, not a curated record.
ACAGUCUUCAAAUGAUCAGACACUAUUUCACAGUCAGUUACACACGACUGGGAUCAAAACAAAACACAUUUGUAAAAACCUCUAUUUUAGGAAAUAGC